AGAGUUUGAUCCUGGCUCAGGACGAACGCUGGCGGCGUGCCUAACACAUGCAAGUCGAACGGGGUGAGGCCCUUCGGGACCUUUACCUAGUGGCGAACGGGUGAGUAACGCGUGAGGAACCUGCCUUUCAGUGGGGGACAACAGUUGGAAACGACUGCUAAUACCGCAUGAAGCUUUUGGGAGACAUCUCCUGGAAGCCAAAGCUUAAUGUGCUGAAAGAUGGCCUCGCGUCUGAUUAGCUAGUUGGUGGGGUAACGGCCCACCAAGGCGACGAUCAGUAGCCGGUCUGAGAGGAUGAACGGCCACAUUGGGACUGAGAUACGGCCCAGACUCCUACGGGAGGCAGCAGUGGGGAAUAUUGGGCAAUGGGCGAAAGCCUGACCCAGCAACGCCGCGUGAAGGAAGAAGGCCUUCGGGUUGUAAACUUCUUUUACCAGGGACGAAGGACGUGACGGUACCUGGAGAAAAAGCAACGGCUAACUACGUGCCAGCAGCCGCGGUAAUACGUAGGUUGCAAGCGUUGUCCGGAUUUACUGGGUGUAAAGGGCGUGUAGGCGGAGAUGCAAGUUAGGAGUGAAAUCUAUGGGCUCAACCCAUAAACUGCUUCUAAAACUGUAUCCCUUGAGUAUCGGAGAGGCAAGCGGAAUUCCUAGUGUAGCGGUGAAAUGCGUAGAUAUUAGGAGGAACACCAGUGGCGAAGGCGGCUUGCUGGACGACAACUGACGCUGAGGCGCGAAAGCGUGGGGAGCAAACAGGAUUAGAUACCCUGGUAGUCCACGCUGUAAACGAUGAAUACUAGGUGUGGGGGGACUGACCCCCUCCGUGCCGCAGUUAACACAAUAAGUAUUCCACCUGGGGAGUACGACCGCAAGGUUGAAACUCAAAGGAAUUGACGGGGGCCCGCACAAGCAGUGGAGUAUGUGGUUUAAUUCGACGCAACGCGAAGAACCUUACCAAGUCUUGACAUCCCUUGACGAUGCUGGAAACAGUAUUUCUCUUCGGAGCAAGGAGACAGGUGGUGCAUGGUUGUCGUCAGCUCGUGUCGUGAGAUGUUGGGUUAAGUCCCGCAACGAGCGCAACCCUUAUGGUCAGUUACUACGCAAGAGGACUCUGGCCAGACUGCCGUUGACAAAACGGAGGAAGGUGGGGAUGACGUCAAAUCAUCAUGCCCUUUAUGACUUGGGCUACACACGUACUACAAUGGCGUUAAACAAAGAGAAGCAAGACCGCGAGGUGGAGCAAAACUCAGAAACAACGUCCCAGUUCGGACUGCAGGCUGCAACUCGCCUGCACGAAGUCGGAAUUGCUAGUAAUCGUGGAUCAGCAUGCCACGGUGAAUACGUUUCCGGGCCUUGUACACACCGCCCGUCACACCAUGAGAGCCGGGGGGACCCGAAGUCGGUAGUCUAACCGCAAGGAGGACGCCGCCGAAGGUAAAACUGGUGAUUGGGGUGAAGUCGUAACAAGGUA
Molecule: ribosomal RNA, 1470 nt
Filed under: metagenome
Description: bacterial SSU rRNA
Rfam family: Bacterial small subunit ribosomal RNA
Source: RNAcentral